CACCAUCUUUUUCUUGCUUUUUCUCUAUUUCUAUCUCUCUUUUUCUGUCUCCUCUUCUCUCUCUUUCUUUCUCUCUCUCUCUCUCUCUCUCUUCUGCAUCUUCCUGUAUUCGAGUUACUUCCCUUGGCGUUACACAACAGUAGUCGAACAGGAGCAGUUUGGUUUGUCUUUACGGUGACCUAACUAAAAUGGAACCUACGGAUUACAUAUCAUUAUUUGAUGUAUGAAUAUCUAUAUAUAAGACCAAUCAUCGAUUCGCUAAACUUAACAACGAAACAUAUUCAGGGAACAUUAUUAAUGCAGUGGGAAGUUCUACAAAAAAUAAGAGCCAGACCAGCAAAGAAGAGGAACCAGAUAUCCUCCUAAAAUUCACACUACAGUUUUUAAAGAAAGAAAGAAAGAAAAAGAGCGGGAUGUUCGACUGGAUUGUGUCUGAUAAGUUUGUUGCUCGUUAAGACUAACCUGGGACUGAACAAUAACAGCAGCAGCAGCAACAACAACAACAACACAUAUACGACAACCUGGAAAUGUUUCUGUUAAAGUUUCUUUCAAAUGUGUUUCUUUUUAAUAACUAGAAUUACUACCAACAACGAAUCCCAACAGUAAGUGUAGCGGCAUAAAAUAUAUUAUAUAAUUCUCUUAGUGAAAUAAAUCACGUAUACACCCAAAUAAGCCAAACAUAAUCGUCUGGUACUACCCAACUUUUAAGAAAACAUCUGAGCGGUUUGUUAGUGACCAACACUUAUUCUUCUGCAAAGAUAACAGCUAAAUAAAUAUUGCUCUCUUUU
Octopus bimaculoides (California two-spot octopus) is the source of this 788-nucleotide long non-coding RNA. RefSeq lists it as uncharacterized. The record is from RefSeq and is a predicted model, not a curated record. Lineage: Eukaryota; Metazoa; Mollusca; Cephalopoda; Octopoda; Octopodidae.